Molecule: unclassified non-coding RNA, 237 nt
Filed under: uncultured fungus
Lineage: Eukaryota; Fungi
Description: sequence contains ITS1
Source: RNAcentral
GUAUUUUAUUAACUUUUUUUAUAGUUCAAAUGUUUACAAAGUGUGUGUGUAAAAGAUGGAAAGUUCCGAGGGCGUUAACCCUCUUUCGUUUCCACAAUGGUUCACAGGUGUGUGUAAAAAGGAUCGAACUAAAAGUGAGUGUGCAACAUGCCCUCGCGAAAGGGCCAGCGACAACUGCACAAAUUAGCUCUUUUAACUUUUUCGAUAAUGAUCCUUCCGCAGGUUCACCUACGGAAA